GGGGCAUUAGCGCAGGUGGUAGCGCGGUUCGUUCGCAACGAACAGGUCAGGGGUUCGAGUCCCCUAUGCUCCACCA
RNAcentral lists this transfer RNA (76 nucleotides) under Propionibacteriaceae bacterium. RNAcentral describes it as "tRNA-Ala". It matches the Rfam family "tRNA". Rfam says of the family: Transfer RNA (tRNA) molecules are approximately 80 nucleotides in length. Their secondary structure includes four short double-helical elements and three loops (D, anti-codon, and T loops). Lineage: Bacteria; Bacillati; Actinomycetota; Actinomycetes; Propionibacteriales; Propionibacteriaceae. The record is from RNAcentral.